AGAUUGAACGCUGGCGGCGUGCCUAACACAUGCAAGUCGAGCGGUAACAGGUGUAGCAAUACAUGCUGACGAGCGGCGAACGGGUGAGUAAUGCUUCGGAAUCUACCUUAUGGUGGGGAAUAACUAGCCGAAAGGUUAGCUAAUACCGCAUACGUCCUACGGGAGAAAGCAGGGGAUCGCAAGACCUUGCGCCAAAAGAUGAGCCGAAGUCGGAUUGGCUAGUUGGUAGGGUAACGGCCUACCGAAGGCGACGAUCCGUAGACUGGUCUGAGAGGACGACCAGGCCACACUAGGAACUGAGACACGGUCCAGACUCCGUACGGGAGGCAGCGAGUGGGGAAUAGUUGGAACAAGUGGGGGAAACCUGA
This 368-nucleotide ribosomal RNA is filed under the name uncultured soil bacterium. RNAcentral's name for it is "bacterial SSU rRNA". It matches the Rfam family "Bacterial small subunit ribosomal RNA", at positions 26 to 386 of the family's 1533-position model. The record is from RNAcentral.